AUGCGGCCUCUUAAGAAUUAUACUUUGAGCUAUCCAUUGACAUAUUGGAAGAGGGUGUACGUUAGAAAAUAUAUGCUAAUUACCUGUAAUUAUGCCGAACGACGAAACACGGUUUACACUUGUUAUCUCGUCCAAGACGGCAAAGAGACCACCAGUAAGGAAGCAAAGUCGCGGAAUUAUAGAUCCACUGAUCGCGAUGAAUAAGGGUACUCGGAUAGAUCAUCAAAUCGUUGAAGGCCGUCAGCAAAAUAUCGUUCGUCGCGUUCCCAUAAAAUAAUGAGAGAAAGCAUGGUUUUUUUUAGAGGACUCCAUAAAGUUCAUGAGAUUGUGUUGGAUACCUCCAAUUAAGGCAUAGCCAGUGAUAUUGAUAAGACUCGACUGAUCUUACUGGUGAGUGCAAAUGCUUUGAUGUGAUUAUCUAUAGAUUUCUUUCGAACUAUCCACGAAGAUAUUAAUGAAUUAGGAAAGGGAAAUGGAAAGGUAGAAAUUUAAAUAAAAACCAUUGCUACGGUGCGAAUGACUGCAUAUAAUAUUUUAAAUAAUUAUUCUAGAUUAAUUGUUAUAGAUUAAUUAUUCUAGUUUCUCUCAGAUGGAACCCUUGAGUGAGGCUCUCGAGUGUAGGUCCUUGGGUGGGGCCUUGGGCGGGGCCUUGGGCGGGCACUUUCUUUCGAAAGGGAAGAAUCGAACUCUUUCCGUUCUAACGUACGCGUGCGUUUUUUGACAUUUUUCGAAUUUAUUCAGAUUUCUCUCUCGUCGAGGGAUCGAUUUAUCAUCGAUGGACAGAGUUCUCGUUAACGAAUUGAUUAAUUGUCGAUAAAGCAUUCAUUUCAUCAGACGAUCCAAUAACGAAGAUUUUUUUUAAUUGCAUUAAUGAUAGACUAAAUAGCUGAAUUUAAAAACUUUUUAUUUAUUUAA
Vespa velutina is the source of this 915-nucleotide long non-coding RNA. RefSeq lists it as uncharacterized. The transcript is spliced from 3 exons. NCBI's taxonomy places the organism in Eukaryota, Metazoa, Arthropoda, Insecta, Hymenoptera, Vespidae. The record is from RefSeq and is a predicted model, not a curated record.